This is a long non-coding RNA of Malus domestica (apple), 1341 nucleotides long. RefSeq lists it as uncharacterized. NCBI's taxonomy places the organism in Eukaryota, Viridiplantae, Streptophyta, Magnoliopsida, Rosales, Rosaceae. The record is from RefSeq and is a predicted model, not a curated record.
UGUGAGGAGUGUAGAAUGGGAUUUUUAGAGUGCUAAUAACAGUUCCCUAUAUAUUAUUCUUUUAUAAUUGAUGCUAGUAGUUUCUAAUUCAUGCUCUACAACCUGGAAUGCCCUACACCUUGCAUAUUUUUCAUGUUUUGUUUGAUAUUCAUUUGGAUUUUAUUAUUGCUGCUGUCAUGGUUGAUGAUUUUAGAAUGCUUGAUUCUUUUGUCUAUCAACAAAUUGCCAAAAGGGUUUAAUUAAUUUGAAUUUUGACUCUGAUAAAAACAUUCAAGCAUGCUAGUGUUCGAUUAAAUGGUAGUGUGAAUGAAAUGACAUUCCUAGUUCAUGAAUGUGUUCUUGAAUUAUUUGAAGAAUAAUUCAUAAUUUCAUAUUUUAAUUUGGGAUUCCCGAUUUGUCCCAAAAUCCUGAAGUUUGGGAUUCCCGAAAAUUUGGUUUGGGAUUGGUCUUCAAAUUCCCGUCCCGAAAAAUUUCAGUUUGGAAUUCGGGAUACUAGUUUUGGUUCGGUAUCCCAUACCGAACCAUCCCUAUGUUUUCCAUAUGGAAAAUUGGAGGAAACUUAUUUUUAUUUGUUUGGUUUUUUUCUUUUUAAUUUUUAGUGAAACAUUAAGAUAUCAAUUUGCAGGUUUUGCGAAUUACUUUCCAUAUCAAGAAAUUGAUCGCUGUCCUACUAAACCAGUGAAAUCCUUGAAUUGGAUAAUAAUUUAAGUUGUUAUUUAUAAAUUGUGUCACAACAAUAAUAUAACUGCUCUCGUAUUUAAGAGAAACUGAGAAGAUGAGAUAAGUGGUUAAAUUAAUUUGUGGUAGGAAAUUGCCAAAGUGCUAAUACGUGACUUGAUAUUUUUGUUCUGAUUUCUUAGUUGAUGUUCAUAUAAUUCUUGGGUCCCUAAGGCUCCUACUCUUCCUACUUGUAAAUGUCACUUGGAUAUGUCUAUACAACUCGUAUAUCUAAUGAUAUUAUCAUCUGUUGUGUAUCACUCUGAUGCGGUCUUUUGCGUACAGAUUUGGUGAAACUGGUUGAUGAUAUCGCUGCAGUUUUGCUCUUGCACUUGCUGCUGCAUCUUCACUCCUUCGAGUCAUCGGAGGAGCGCUAGCUGGUCACGCUGUUGCAACUUGGCCAUUGCGUACGUGGGAGGUGUUAGGCCAUUGCGUGCGUGGGAGGUGUUCUUUCUCUAGUGUUUGCUGCUGUAACACUGGUUAAGAUUGUAAGUUAAAGGGAAUAAGAUACCCAUAUCCUUUUUAUCUGAUCAAAACUCAGAAGCACAUUGUUGGUUGUAAUUAUUGACAUUCUGUCCCUACUUAAUCAGUUUAUUAGUACAAACUUUGAUUCUUUGAGUGAAA